UUGGGAAUAUUGCGCAAUGGGGGAAACCCUGACGCAGCAACGCCGCGUGAAGGAAGACGGUUUUCGGAUUGUAAACUUCUUUUAUUGAGGACGAAACAAAUGACGGUACUCAAUGAAUAAGCUCCGGCUAACUACGUGCCAGCAGCCGCGGUAAUACGUAGGGAGCAAGCGUUGUCCGGAAUUACUGGGUGUAAAGGGCGAGUAGGCGGGACAAAAAGUCAGAUGUGAAAACUAUGGGCUCAACCCAUAGCCUGCAUUUGAAACUUUUGUUCUUGAGGGAUGGAGAGGUAAGCGGAAUUCCUAGUGUAGCGGUGAAAUGCGUAGAUAUUAGGAGGAACACCAGUGGCGAAGGCGGCUUACUGGACAUCUACUGACGCUGAGGAGCGAAAGCGUGGGGAGCGAACAGG
RNAcentral lists this ribosomal RNA (407 nucleotides) under uncultured prokaryote. RNAcentral describes it as "bacterial SSU rRNA". It matches the Rfam family "Bacterial small subunit ribosomal RNA", at positions 355 to 776 of the family's 1533-position model. RNAcentral also lists the same sequence under 1 other name. The record is from RNAcentral.